AUUGAACGCUGGCGGCAUGCCUUACACAUGCAAGUCGAGCGGCAGCGCGGGGGCAACCCUGGCGGCGAGCGGCGGACGGGUGAGUAAUGCAUCGGAACGUGUCCUCUUGUGGGGGAUAACCAGUCGAAAGAUUGGCUAAUACCGCAUGAGCUCGUAAGAGGAAAGCGGGGAUCCGUAAGGACCUCGCGCGAGAGGAGCGGCCGAUGCCCGAUUAGCUAGUUGGGGGGUAACGGCCUACCAAGGCGACGAUCGUAGCUGGUCUGAGAGGACGACCAGCCACACUGGGACUGAGACACGGCCCAGACUCCUACGGGAGGCAGCAGUGGGGAAUUUUGGACAAUGGGCGAAAGCCUGAUCCAGCCAUGCCGCGUGUGUGAAGAAGGCC
This 385-nucleotide ribosomal RNA is filed under the name uncultured bacterium. Its description in RNAcentral is "bacterial SSU rRNA". It matches the Rfam family "Bacterial small subunit ribosomal RNA", at positions 29 to 416 of the family's 1533-position model. The record is from RNAcentral.